RNAcentral lists this ribosomal RNA (225 nucleotides) under Pseudomonas aeruginosa. RNAcentral's name for it is "partial 16S ribosomal RNA". It matches the Rfam family "Bacterial small subunit ribosomal RNA", at positions 550 to 774 of the family's 1533-position model. Lineage: Bacteria; Pseudomonadati; Pseudomonadota; Gammaproteobacteria; Pseudomonadales; Pseudomonadaceae. The record is from RNAcentral.
AUUACUGGGCGUAAAGCGCGCGUAGGUGGUUCAGCAAGUUGGAUGUGAAAUCCCCGGGCUCAACCUGGGAACUGCAUCCAAAACUACUGAGCUAGAGUACGGUAGAGGGUGGUGGAAUUUCCUGUGUAGCGGUGAAAUGCGUAGAUAUAGGAAGGAACACCAGUGGCGAAGGCGACCACCUGGACUGAUACUGACACUGAGGUGCGAAAGCGUGGGGAGCAAACA